This 75-nucleotide antisense RNA is filed under the name Pseudofrankia inefficax. Its description in RNAcentral is "Frankia sp. EuI1c ASpks TB sRNA". It matches the Rfam family "ASpks TB sRNA". Lineage: Bacteria; Bacillati; Actinomycetota; Actinomycetes; Frankiales; Frankiaceae. The record is from Rfam by way of RNAcentral.
CUUCACCCCGCCCAGCCAGGCCGGCCGAUCGGCCGGCCGGUCCCGGCCGUAGGUGGCGAGCAGCGCCCGGGCCUC